GAUGAACGCUAGCUACAGGCUUAACACAUGCAAGUCGAGGGGCAGCAUUUUAGUUUGCUUGCAAACUAAAGAUGGCGACCGGCGCACGGGUGAGUAACACGUAUCCAACCUGCCGAUAACUCGGGGAUAGCCUUUCGAAAGAAAGAUUAAUAUCCGAUAGUAUAUUAAAACCGCAUGGUUUUACUAUUAAAGAAUUUCGGUUAUCGAUGGGGAUGCGUUCCAUUAGUUUGUUGGCGGGGUAACGGCCCACCAAGACUACGAUGGAUAGGGGUUCUGAGAGGAAGGUCCCCCACAUUGGAACUGAGACACGGUCCAAACUCCUACGGGAGGCAGCAGUGAGGAAUAUUGGUCAAUGGACGAGAGUCUGAACCAGCCAAGUAGCGUGAAGGAUGACUGCCCUAUGGGUUGUAAACUUCUUUUAUAUGGGAAUAAAGUAUUCCACGUGUGGGAUUUUGUAUGUACCAUAUGAAUAAGGAUCGGCUAACUCCGUGCCAGCAGCCGCGGUAAUACGGAGGAUCCGAGCGUUAUCCGGAUUUAUUGGGUUUAAAGGGAGCGUAGGUGGAUUGUUAAGUCAGUUGUGAAAGUUUGCGGCUCAACCGUAAAAUUGCAGUUGAAACUGGCAGUCUUGAGUACAGUAGAGGUGGGCGGAAUUCGUGGUGUAGCGGUGAAAUGCUUAGAUAUCACGAAGAACUCCGACUGCGAAGGCAGCUCACUAGACUGCAACUGACACUGAUGCUCGAAAGUGUGGGUAUCAAACAGGAUUAGAUACCCUGGUAGUCCACACAGUAAACGAUGAAUACUCGCUGUUUGCGAUAUACAGUAAGCGGCCAAGCGAAAGCAUUAAGUAUUCCACCUGGGGAGUACGCCGGCAACGGUGAAACUCAAAGGAAUUGACGGGGGCCCGCACAAGCGGAGGAACAUGUGGUUUAAUUCGAUGAUACGCGAGGAACCUUACCCGGGCUUAAAUUGCAUUUGAAUAAUCUGGAAACAGGUUAGCCGCAAGGCAAAUGUGAAGGUGCUGCAUGGUUGUCGUCAGCUCGUGCCGUGAGGUGUCGGCUUAAGUGCCAUAACGAGCGCAACCCUUAUCUUUAGUUACUAACAGGUUAUGCUGAGGACUCUAGAGAGACUGCCGUCGUAAGAUGUGAGGAAGGUGGGGAUGACGUCAAAUCAGCACGGCCCUUACGUCCGGGGCUACACACGUGUUACAAUGGGGGGUACAGAAGGCAGCUACCUGGCGACAGGAUGCUAAUCCCAAAAACCUCUCUCAGUUCGGAUCGAAGUCUGCAACCCGACUUCGUGAAGCUGGAUUCGCUAGUAAUCGCGCAUCAGCCAUGGCGCGGUGAAUACGUUCCCGGGCCUUGUACACACCGCCCGUCAAGCCAUGAAAGCCGGGGGUACCUGAAGUACGUAACCGCAAGGAGCGUCCUAGGGUAAAACUGGUAA
RNAcentral lists this ribosomal RNA (1443 nucleotides) under uncultured organism. RNAcentral's name for it is "16S ribosomal RNA". It matches the Rfam family "Bacterial small subunit ribosomal RNA". The record is from RNAcentral.